This 524-nucleotide ribosomal RNA is filed under the name uncultured Planctomycetota bacterium. Its description in RNAcentral is "uncultured planctomycete partial 16S ribosomal RNA". Lineage: Bacteria; Pseudomonadati; Planctomycetota. The record is from RNAcentral.
ACGCGUUGGGAGCUCUCCCAUAUGGUCGACCUGCAGGCGGCCGCGAAUUCACUAGUGAUUCGUAUUACCGCGGCUGCUGGCACGAACUUAGCCCGUGCUUCCUCCUGAGGUCGAUCAAGCCUUGCGGCUUUUCUCCCUCACGACAGUGCUUUACAACCCGAAGGCCUUCAUCGCACACGCGGCGUCGCUCGGUCAGGCUUGCGCCCAUUGCCGAAGAUCCUCGACUGCAGCCUCCCGUAGGAGUCUGGCCAGUGUCCCAGUGCCAGUGGCGCAGGUCGUGCUCUCACACCUGCUAAGCAUCUUGGCCUUGGUGGGCCGUUACCCCACCAACUAGCUAAUACUACGUGAGCCCCUCCCGGAGCGCCGGAGCUUUCUUGAGCAAAGGAGGCCCCUCGCUCAAGGCAUUCGGUAUUACCCAUCCGUUAGGAAGGCUAUUCCGAACUCCGGGGCAGGUUACCCACGCCUUACUGCCCCUUUCGCCAAUCGAAUUCCCGCGGCCGCCAUGGCGGCCGGGAGCAUGCGAC